GCACCCGGCCCAGGGCUCCGCGGGGACCCUCGUUUGCAUAGCCCCGCCCCUCACUUGUUUUUCCUGGAGCCAGGGAGCCUGGCCGGCUCCCUCACCUGGUGGUCAGAGUUCUGGAUUCUGCUGUUUUGCAUAAGUCAGCUGCCACCCCUUCCCCAUUUUAAGAACUACUAGACAAUGAACACUUUUCUCGUUUGCACGGAACGCCCAGGGUCCCCGGCCGAGCGUUGUGAGAGCGCCCCCACCUCCGUUUGUCUUUAUUUGCGUAUCUGCGCACCUGUAGAAUGGUCCCGCCCCUCGCCUAGUUUGGCUUAUUUGCGUGACCUCUUCAACCUCAAUUCUGAUCGUUCCCACGAGCCCCUCUAAUGACUCAUUUCUCUUUCUGCACCUCGCCUCCAACUCUUUCCCCUGUUCCACCAAGACAGGAGCAGCCCCAGGUCCCCUGCGGCUUCCCAUGGAUUUGCCCCUGACAGCCCCAAGUUUCUGUUUCCUUUGCUCGGACUCGGCUCUUCACCCAGGCAGCCUGUGGGAGAAAAGCAAAUCUCCCACCUCCCGCCAACUCUUUUCUCCCUGAGCUCUUCCCCCUAUUAUCCCUGAUCCCUUUAUCUGCAACUCCUCCUCCUUGCGUGUGUGAGAUCACUGUGGAGCCUGUGAUCUCAUAGAGACCCUAGAAUUCCCAGUUCAGUUUCUGCUUUCCCUAGGGGAGGGGACUUGCAGUUGCUGAAAGGAAGGAAAUCUUAUCUCCCAGCGGGGAGUGCUGGGAAGCUAGAGACCAUCUAGCUGUCCUUCCCACUCCCCCCACCAUAGGCUCUUAACAAUCAUGCGUCUUCCAUCCUGGUGUCUGUUGACGGUAGGGUGUAAGGGACGCCACUGUAACAGCAGGUGCCUGAUCACCUGCAAACACCCUGUAGGCACUGGCACAUUCCCCUCUUCCUCGCGAACAUUCUGGAGAGAACCAGUUGAAACCACUUGGCUUGUCUCGGGUUGCUAGGUCAACUAACUUGCCCACUCCGCAGCGAGUGAGUUCAGGGAGCGGGUGAGCCCCAGGAGCCAUUCCCGACCCUCCCAGUCUCCCCCAGCCGCCUAACCCCCAAGCUCCAGAUUGACCUCAGCAGCUGUGGGACACUCGCCGUCUGUUCCCUUGCCCCUCCCCCUUGCUUGUUUUUUGACAAAGACCAAAUGUUAUUCUUUACUUCCUUAGGGCCCUGUCUGUGUGCGUGGACUCCUGGGGAAAACUACCCAGAACUCCGGGCCCUCCCAGCUCCUGCCCCCUCCGCUCUCCUCCCCCAGCAUUCCGGCUCAGGGUGCAGCCGCCCCUCCUGUGAGCCAGCCCGUGUGGGGAGGCGGGAAAAUCCCAGCUUCCUGGGAACCCCUCUGAGCCCUGCUCUCCACGCAUGAGUCCUCAGGCCUUUCAGGGCCCAGGCUGUAGGCCAGGCGAGCCUUUCUCGUCCCCAGAACUCUCUCCUCUGGCCCCGCUCCCCAGGCAGGGUGCUUGUAGCUUGGGGCGGAAAGGGGAAGUGGCAGAAACCCAGUCCGUGGUGCCCAUACCCUACUCCCCACACCCCCUCGUCCUUUAUCCCUGACAGAAUACAGGCUCCACCGCUCUGCUGCCCGAGUCAUUUGGAACCCUCUCUUCCAGCUUUCUCAGCUCUUUCUGAACCAGCGUGUUCCUUGCAUGCGUCCUGUGGCGCAGGUCCCCAAUGUCCCUUGGACUCGUGCCUGGGCCCUGAUAGUAGGGUGAAUCUGAGGUGGGGGAAGGGCUGCCCUCACAAAAGAGAAGUGCAGCUCAUUCUCUCACAGACCACAUCCUGUGUCUCCUGUGCCCUGCCUCCUCCAGCCCGCUCCCUUCCGCCCUAGCUUUUGCCCCCCU
This is a long non-coding RNA of Phacochoerus africanus (Common warthog), 1867 nucleotides long. RefSeq lists it as uncharacterized. The transcript has 2 exons. The record is from RefSeq and is a predicted model, not a curated record. NCBI's taxonomy places the organism in Eukaryota, Metazoa, Chordata, Mammalia, Artiodactyla, Suidae.